RNAcentral lists this ribosomal RNA (253 nucleotides) under uncultured archaeon. RNAcentral's name for it is "partial 16S ribosomal RNA". It matches the Rfam family "Archaeal small subunit ribosomal RNA", at positions 474 to 727 of the family's 1478-position model. The record is from RNAcentral.
AACCCUCCCCUCAAGUGGUCAGGAUGAUUAUUGGGCCUAAAGCAUCCGUAGCCGGCUCUGUAAGUUUUCGGUUAAAUCUGUACGCUCAACGUACAGGCUGCCGGGAAUACUGCAGAGCUAGGGAGUGGGAGAGGUAGACGGUACUCGGUAGGAAGGGGUAAAAUCCUUUGAUCUAUUGAUGACCACCUGUGGCGAAGGCGGUCUACCAGAACACGUCCGACGGUGAGGGAUGAAAGCUGGGGGAGCAAACCGG